GCAGUCGAGUGGGUUUAGACCCACGGCAGACGAGGUAGUAAUACACAGGAAUCUCCCCCAGAGUUAGGCAUAAUCCGUCGAAAGACGGGCUAAUUCCUAAUGGUAUCGCAAGAUUAAAGGAGCAAUCCGCUCUGGGAUGAGCCUGUGGAGCAUCAGCUAGUUGGUAGGGUAAUGGCCUACCAAGGCUAUGACGCUUAGGGGGGGUGAGAGCCUGUUCCCCACCGAUGGUACUGAGACACGGACCAUACUCCUACGGGAGGCAGCAGCCGAGAAUCUUCCGCAAUGGGCGAAAGCCUGACGGAGCGACGUCGCGUGGUGGAUGAAGUCCUUCGGGACGUAAACACCUUUUAUCGGGGAGAAAAUUUUUGAUAGUACCUGAUGAAUAAGGGGUUGCUAAACUCGUGCCAGCAGCAGCGGUAAUACGAGUGCCCCAAGCGUUAUCCGGAAUCACUGGGCGUAAAGGGUGUGUAGGCGGCUUGGUUAGUCUCCUGUUAAAACCCUCGGCUUAACCGAGGAGAUGCAGGAGAGACGGCCAAACUCGAGGAGGUAAGGGGUCUAUGGAACUCAUGGUGUAGGGGUGAAAUCCGUUGAUAUCAUGGGGAACGCCAAAAGCGAAGGCAAUAGACUGGUACCUUCCUGACGCUGAAACACGAAAGCGUGGGGAUCAAACGGGAUUAGA
RNAcentral lists this ribosomal RNA (679 nucleotides) under uncultured Parcubacteria group bacterium. Its description in RNAcentral is "bacterial SSU rRNA". It matches the Rfam family "Bacterial small subunit ribosomal RNA", at positions 57 to 782 of the family's 1533-position model. The record is from RNAcentral.